GGGGAAUAUUGGACAAUGGGGGCAACCCUGAUCCAGCCAUGCCGCGUGUGUGAAGAAGGCUUUCGGGUUGUAAAGCACUUUCAGCGAGGAGGAAGGCUCUGAAGUUAAUACCUUCAGGGAUUGACGUUACUCGCAGAAGAAGCACCGGCUAACUCCGUGCCAGCAGCCGCGGUAAUACGGAGGGUGCAAGCGUUAAUCGGAAUUACUGGGCGUAAAGCGCGCGUAGGUGGUUAGGUAAGCGAGAUGUGAAAGCCCCGGGCUUAACCUGGGAACGGCAUUUCGAACUGUCUGACUAGAGUGUGGUAGAGGGUAGUGGAAUUUCCUGUGUAGCGGUGAAAUGCGUAGAUAUAGGAAGGAACACCAGUGGCGAAGGCGGCUACCUGGACCAACACUGACACUGAGGUGCGAAAGCGUGGGGAGCAAAC
RNAcentral lists this ribosomal RNA (425 nucleotides) under uncultured bacterium. RNAcentral's name for it is "bacterial SSU rRNA". It matches the Rfam family "Bacterial small subunit ribosomal RNA", at positions 356 to 773 of the family's 1533-position model. The record is from RNAcentral.